GGAUGGAUCAUGUAACACUCUCACUUGGUUGGCCGCGCGCGUGACGCGAGGGAAGAGAGCGGCUCUGCUGCGGCGGUGCCCUCGAUGCCUUCGAGUCCGCGAACCACGCGCCAACCAAUACACACACCUCUUGCACUUGUUACCGUCGAUGGGCGAUAGCCUUUCUGGUUAUUGCCCAUUCGUUUUAUCAUCAUCAUCCUAUUCACUCCCAGUUUACAUUCACAUGAACCAUUUCCACUUCUUGUUGGCGUCAGCCGAUGAUGAGGAUGGAAACAAUCUAUAACCAAAACAACUUUCAACAACGGAUGUCUUGGUUCCCGCAUCGAUGAAGAACGCCGCGAACUGCGAUACUUAAUGUGAAACGCAACACAGCGAGAAUCAUCAAGGUUUCGAACGCACAUUGCGCUGUUGAAGUCUGCUUCGACAGCAUGCCUGUUUGAGAAUCGUUUUCAACCUCACUCUCUUCCCUCCCUCCCUCCCUCGGGGGGGGUGGGGUGAGAGAGUGGACGCUGAGCGCCCCACGGCUGCAAGGUUGUGGGCCGCUUGAAAUGGAGACCCCUAUCUGGGAGCUGCUGCAUCUCGCUCUGCGAAUGCGCAUCUGUGCUGAGACGUGUGCGUAGCAGCAUUCAUUUGCGGCUAUCAUACCCCCUCACAGUGCGCUUGCAGACACGGCAGCCCCCUCAAGGAUAGGAUCGAAGAUCGAUCCCCCUCCUCUCACAAGGAAGGAGAUGAUCAUUCUCAAGGAAGAGAGCGUCUGCUCCCUUUCUUCUCUUUUAAAUCGCGAUCUCAAAUCAAGCAAGACCACCCGCUGAACUUAAGCAUAUCAAUAAGCGGAGGAAAAGAAACUAACAAGGAAGCCCUCAGUAACGGCGAGUGAAGCGGGCUAAGCUCAAAUUUCAAAUCUGCGUCUCUGUGGAGGCGUCGAAUUGUAGUCUAGAGGGGCGUCUUGCGUGGUGCGCCGAGCAUAAGUGCCCUGGAAAGGGCUGUCAGAGAGGGUGCGAACCCCGUCUUUGGCUCGGAAUGCAUCGCCGAUCAAGGGACGUUUCCCACGAGUCGGGUUGUUUGGGACUACAGCCUGAAUUGGGUGGUAGAUGCCAUCUAAAGCUAACUUAUCUGCGGGAGACCGAUAGCGAACAAGUAGCGUGAGCGAAAGAUGAAAGGCACUCUGGAGAGAGAGCCAAAAGGACCUGAAAUUGUUGAAAGGGAAGGGAUUGGAAUCAGUCGUUACCCCGCGGGGAUUCGCCGGUCGCCGGCGUGCCGCGCUGCGGCUCGGAGCCCUCAAAGCCCAGCCGUGGUGAGUCGCGCGUCGGGGGCCGGUUACUUCUCCGUGGGUGUAGGCCAAUAUCAGCUAGUUUGGAUAGGCGCCGGACAAGACUGUCAGGAAGGUAGGGAUCGAGCUGUGUACGCAGCCGGUUCUGUUAUAGCCUGGCGGGGAUCCGGUGCCACUGGCUGAGGAAAACCCUGGUGUGCCAUGCACGCGCCUCGGCGAGAUGCGCGGUCGGACGGCUGUUCGCCUGAAAGGGCGGGCGGUUGGUGCCGGCUGUGGCGUCGUCGGCGUGCAAAGGAUAUUGGCGAAUUGGUUUCCAUCCACCCGUCUUGAAACACGGACCAAGGAGUCCGCCGUCUACGCGAGUAUUUGGGCGGCAAACCCGAAUGCGCAAUGAAAGUGAAGGCGUCAGUGGGCGCUGAGAUGGGACGGCUUGCGUGAAGCGAGCCCGCACCACCGGCCGAUCUGGACCCCUUGCGGUGAAAGAUUUGAGCAAGAGCGUAGCCCGUGGGACCCGAAAGAUGGUGAACUUUGCCUGAGUAGGUUGAAGUCAGUGGAAACACUGAUGGAGGACCGUCGAGAUACUGACGUGCAAAUCGUUCUUCUGACUUGGGUAAAGGGGCGAAAGACUAAUCGAACCAUCUAGUAGCUGGUUCCCUC
RNAcentral lists this unclassified non-coding RNA (1927 nucleotides) under uncultured fungus. Its description in RNAcentral is "sequence contains 18S rRNA gene, ITS1, 5.8S rRNA gene, ITS2, 28S rRNA gene". The stretch from base 782 to 1927 matches the Rfam family "Eukaryotic large subunit ribosomal RNA", at positions 1 to 961 of the family's 3401-position model. The record is from RNAcentral. Lineage: Eukaryota; Fungi.